CCCUUAGAUGUUCUGGGCCGCACGCGUGCUACACUGAACGGUUCAAUGGGUAAGGUAGUGCGAAAGCAUGACCUAAUCUCGAAAUCCGUUCGUGCUGGGGAUAGAAGCUCGCAAUUAUCCUUCUUGAACGAGGAAUACCUUGUAAGCGUGAGUCAUCAUCUCACGCUGAAUACGUCCCUGCCCUUUGUACACACCGCCCGUCGCUCCUACCGAUUGAGUGUUCCGGUGAGGCUUUGGGAGAAUGGCCUCAACAUGAGUUUAUCGUGUUUUGCCGUUUGAACUUAGUCAAACCUUAUCACUUAGAGGAAGGAGAAGUCGUAACA
RNAcentral lists this ribosomal RNA (323 nucleotides) under uncultured eukaryote. RNAcentral describes it as "partial 18S ribosomal RNA". It matches the Rfam family "Eukaryotic small subunit ribosomal RNA", at positions 1470 to 1796 of the family's 1831-position model. The record is from RNAcentral.